RNAcentral lists this ribosomal RNA (449 nucleotides) under uncultured bacterium. RNAcentral's name for it is "bacterial SSU rRNA". It matches the Rfam family "Bacterial small subunit ribosomal RNA", at positions 328 to 793 of the family's 1533-position model. The record is from RNAcentral.
UCUCCAGACUCCUACGGGAGGCAGCAGUGGGGAAUAUUGCACAAUGGGGGGAACCCUGACGCAGCGACGCCGCGUGAGUGAAGAAGUAUUUCGGUAUGUAAAGCUCUAUCAGCAGGGAAGAAGAUGACGGUACCUGACUAAGAAGCCCCGGCUAACUACGUGCCAGCAGCCGCGGUAAUACGUAGGGGGCAAGCGUUAUCCGGAUUUACUGGGUGUAAAGGGAGCGUAGACGGCAGGGCAAGUCUGGAGUGAAAGCCCGGGGCCCAACCCCGGGACUGCUUUGGGAACUGUUUUGCUGGAGUAUGGGAGGGGUAAGCGGAAUUCCUGGUGUAGCGGUGAAAUGCGUAGAUAUCAGGAGGAACACCGGUGGCGAAGGCGGCUUACUGGACCAUAACUGACGUUGAGGCUCGAAAGCGUGGGGAGCGAACAGGAUUAGAUACCCGCGUACG